RNAcentral lists this ribosomal RNA (253 nucleotides) under uncultured bacterium. Its description in RNAcentral is "partial 16S ribosomal RNA". It matches the Rfam family "Bacterial small subunit ribosomal RNA", at positions 524 to 776 of the family's 1533-position model. The record is from RNAcentral.
UACGUAGGGUGCGAGCGUUGUCCGGAAUUAUUGGGCGUAAAGGGCUCGUAGGCGGUUUGUCGCGUCGGGAGUGAAAACCCAGGGCUCAACCCUGGGCUGGCUUCCGAUACGGGCAGACUAGAGGUAUGCAGGGGAGAACGGAAUUCCUGGUGUAGCGGUGAAAUGCGCAGAUAUCAGGAGGAACACCGGUGGCGAAGGCGGGUCUCUGGGCCGAUACUGACGCUGAGGAGCGAAAGCGUGGGGAGCGAACAGG